AGAAAAAUGAAUUUUACAACUUCUUUUUAGUGAAAACUGUGCUAAAAAUAAUAUUUGAAUGCUUUUGGCACACAAAUUCUAUGGUUUUUAUGAAAAAUUUCGCUAAAAACAGAAAAAAUCGCGUGAAAGUAUAAGCGCGCCCUAGAACUGUAAUGCGAACGUAGCCACAUUUGAAUUAUGUCAAGUUUUGACAGAUUAACAGCGAGGUGAGUAUUUUGACAACUAUACGAAAAUGUAAACAAAACAAAAUUCAGUAUCAAUAAUGCAAAUGAGGGUAAAACAAAAAUAUUAAUUUAUUGAAAUAAAAAUAUAAAAUGUAUUAAAUGAAUUCAAUUUAAUCUUCAGAUAAAGAAGAAACCAAGGAUAACGUUGAAACAAGAAAAGUGGAAGCCCCGAGUAGGAAACCAGCAACGCAGACAUAUUUAUUCUGGAGUGAAUAGGUACAAAUUGAAGACAAAAUUACAUUUCUCAACAAGACUUUGUUCCUGUUUAUUCCGAAGUAAAAAGAACUCUGGUGGGUCCAGUGCUGGAUCAAACCUAGAUGUUAACCGCGAAUACAGUGCUAUUAACAUGAGCCACGAAGACCGGGGUAAUAUUAGCAAAAUGGAUUGAACAAUUUAAGAAUCUAAUGUGACGAGAUUUUGAAACCGAAACAGGGGAUUGUCUUGAAGUGAGUAAAAAGGAACAGGAUAAAAUCGAUCUCGAAGAUGCCAAGAAGAAGGAGUAAGAAGCUAACAAGUUGGAUUUUAAAAAAGACAACUACUAUAUCAAGAACAGCUACAUACACCACCAGAAGUUGUUCCACAAUAUCCAAUAUCCAAAACAUCAGAAUAAUCAAGAACUAACCGGUCGUAAGUUCACGAAAAAAUUUGCGAAGCUUAAAGCAUGAUGAAAUCAAACCAAUUUGGCGAGAAUUCAUUUUAUUUCACAAAUUAUUCGAAAACCAAUAAAUAUUUAAAUUAAAAAUAUACUAUUUAUACAAAAUUUGACAAUUAGUAUCAAAAUAAUGGAAAUUUCAAACGAGAACUUGUAAAUACUCGGUGUGAACACUUUAUGAGUUUUCAAAAACUUUUCGCCGAAAACCGGGUUUUCAGUUUGGUGUGGAAUGGCUAUUAGAUUUAAUUUCACUCGAUUUGGGAACCUAGCUGUAAUAUACAUUUUAAAACCUAUAAUUUAUAAUGGAAUUGAAUUUUAAAAACAAAAAAUAUACUCAAUUACAAUCAAUUUUAAAAAAUUACAACUUCAUUUAAAAACUAGAUACGCAACGCAUGGAUGAGAUUCGAAGAUAUCGUCGAACCAAGUGAACGGUAUAUCGACUUAUAAGCUUCGUUUUGAUUUGUAGCUGAAAAAACAUCAAUUAGUGCUUUUGUUUUGUUGUUAAUGUGAAACUUAUUGUGAAGUAGACUUGCCAUAAUGAAACUUCUGGUCAAUAAAAUUGUAUUAAUUAAAGUGUUGUAAUUUUAUCAUUUCUGGAAUAUGAU
Eupeodes corollae is the source of this 1481-nucleotide long non-coding RNA. RefSeq lists it as uncharacterized. The record is from RefSeq and is a predicted model, not a curated record. Lineage: Eukaryota; Metazoa; Arthropoda; Insecta; Diptera; Syrphidae. The transcript has 3 exons.